CACAUGGUCAUUGUUAUUAUGUCAUAGUUCAUUAUCUCUGUAACCAAAAUCCAUGUGUUGUAUACUCCUGGUCUAUCAAGACAAGAUGCAACAGUUUUUGGAUUUGCUGUUUGAUUUCUAUUUGUUUAAUAAGAAACAAAGACUGAGAUAGCCGUUUCUCCACGAAAAAGGGGAUACCUGAACUGAGUUGCAUGAAAAGAACAGAAGAAAACAUGGGGUAAAAAAAAAAUCAGAAGCAAGCAACAUGGUUUGGGGUUAAAGUGGGUUCUGCGCAGAGAGUUCUUAAUAGGUUCCCUGUUGCUAAGGAAACUAUUUCCUUGGUAGCUGUAUGCUCGCCAUGUCUUGCUAAAUUGAUGUCAUAAAGUCGACAAAGAAGAAUGAAAAAUAUUCAAACUGUAUCUACAAAGUGCUCCAUGCAAGGAGAAGUCCUCUAGAGAGCUGUGCUCAAAUCAGCUGCCUUGGGAGAGAUCGCCAGCAAGGAAGCUUAAAAGGCAGGCAGACUGACAUGGAAAGGUGCAGUGCUGAAAAGGGCAUUUCUUGUAGGCUUCAGUGUGAUAUACUUCAGUAACCCAUGGGAAGCCUUUCACAGAUACUCUCACAGAGCUCUUGGGUUAGUGAUAGUGCAUAUACAGUUUGCUACUGCUCUCCCUCUUACUGGCCAAGAUAUCCCAGCACCUUUACUGCAAAUCUGGAAAGACCAGGUCAUAUCCCUAAAUGGUGAGCUUCUCUCUGUCCAUUUUAUCAUACCUAGGGAAGGACCAUAGUUCAGCAGAAGGGUCCCAGUUCAAUCCCAGUUAACUAAAGGGACCUUAUAGCAAGUCAUGAGCAUGGGGAAGGGGAAAGACUCUGAUAGACUGAAGUUCUACUAUUACAGGGAGACAGUACAGGGCUCUAGGGCAUUAAAUUUUGAAAUGGUAUGAACAAACUGUCCACCUGUUCUUUAAUACACAUCUCUGUGUGCAGAUGUUUUCAAACUUGAAUCUGUGGAACUGAAAAUACAAGACUUCAGGAAAGUCAUGGGGCCUUUAUAGACUUACUGAAGGGCCCCUGAAUGCAACAACAUUGACUUCAGAGUAAAAUAAUACAUAGUGCCACCUAAAACAGUGGCUUUCAAAUAGAUUGCCAGUGAAUUGUUUUAGUAUCUCUGAAUAUAAACUUCUUCAGUCCGUCUCUUUUAAUCCCAUUAAAGAUGGCCUUGGAAUAUUGAAAGGCGUGUUUUCUAAAUAUAAUAGACAACAUUUCCUAGCAUCCAGACAUGGGUCUCUCACAUAGGAUUUCUACAACUCCCCCUCGCCCUGAAAAAAAAGGAUUGAAUUACCGUAUUUUUCGCUCCAUAAGACGCACCUUUCCAUAAGACGCACCAAUUUUUUAGGAGAAGAAAACAGGAAAAUAUAAUCUGUUUUCUUCGCUCCAUAAGACGCACAGACUUUCCACCCUCCUGUUUUGUGGGAAAAAAGUGCGUCUUAUGGUGCUGGCUUCAAAUCUUUCCGGGAACAGAACUACACACUUGUGCAUAACUUUAGACUCCUAUAGGCAUUGAAGAAACAUCCCUGAUCUGCCAGUCUUGUAGUCUAAUUGGCAGCAGUGGAGGAGAUAACAAAAGGAAGGAGGAAAUGAAGAAAUAAAGGUUUCUUUUAGGAAUGACUGUGAGCA
Molecule: long non-coding RNA, 1653 nt
Filed under: Pogona vitticeps (central bearded dragon)
Lineage: Eukaryota; Metazoa; Chordata; Lepidosauria; Squamata; Agamidae
Description: lncRNA (ENSPVIG00000024524.1)
Source: RNAcentral